This 29-nucleotide non-coding RNA is filed under the name Mus musculus (house mouse). Lineage: Eukaryota; Metazoa; Chordata; Mammalia; Rodentia; Muridae. The record is from RNAcentral.
UGCCAUCUGUCAUGUGCCUUGGUCAAGUA